AGAGUUUGAUCCUGGCUCAGGACGAACGCUGGCGGUGUGCUUCACACAUGCAAGUCGAACGAGGUAGCAAUACCUAGUGGCGGACGGGUGAGUAACGCGUGGGAAUCUGCCCAAGGGUGGGGGAUAACUAGCCGAAAGGUUAGCUAAUACCGCAUAUGCCGUGAGGUAAAAGGAGUAAUCCGCCCCUGGAUGAGCCUGCGUCCGAUUAGCUAGUUGGUAGGGUAAAGGCCUACCAAGGCUACGAUCGGUAGCUGGUCUGAGAGGAUGAUCAGCCACAAUGGGACUGAGACACGGCCCAUACUCCUACGGGAGGCAGCAGUGGGGAAUUUUACGCAAUGGGGGAAACCCUGACGUAGCGACACCGCGUGAGCGAAGAAGCCCUUUGGGGUGUAAAGCUCUGUCAGCAGGAACGAAUAAAAUGACGGUACCUGCAGAGGAAGCAUCGGCUAACUACGUGCCAGCAGCCGCGGUAAGACGUAGGAUGCAAGCGUUGUCCGGAUUCAUUGGGCGUAAAGAGUUCGUAGGCGGUUUGUUAAGUCUGAUGUUAAAGAUCGGGGCCUAACCCUGGGAGUGCAUUGGAUACUGGCAGACUGGAGUACAGUAGAGGCGAGUGGAAUUCCCAGUGUAGCGGUGAAAUGCGUAGA
Molecule: ribosomal RNA, 644 nt
Filed under: uncultured bacterium
Lineage: Bacteria
Description: bacterial SSU rRNA
Rfam family: Bacterial small subunit ribosomal RNA
Source: RNAcentral